GGGCAGGAUGUGUGAAGUAGUCCCACCAUGCAAGCAUGGCGGAGUCUCUUCACUGGCCCUUAUUCGCACCUGCGGUGCUCAACGUUCAUCUUGCCCUGCGGGGCU
This is a regulatory RNA element of Oceanimonas sp. GK1, 105 nucleotides long. It matches the Rfam family "traJ-II RNA". The record is from Rfam. NCBI's taxonomy places the organism in Bacteria, Pseudomonadati, Pseudomonadota, Gammaproteobacteria, Aeromonadales, Aeromonadaceae.